UAAUAAGUGUUUUAUGGCACUUUUUAAAUCCAUAUCCACCUUGUGUGCAAUGUCAGUCGAUCUUCUUCAUUGGAGAUCGACCAAACAUCAACUUUAUCUUUUAACUCUUUGUCUGAAAAAUAUUAUGAAUAAACAAUUCAAAAUA
This 145-nucleotide unclassified non-coding RNA is filed under the name soil metagenome. Its description in RNAcentral is "partial internal transcribed spacer 1". The record is from RNAcentral.